AUAAAAUAAUAAAAUAAAAAUUUAACUUGUGUUAUAUCAAUCCGAACCCGUUCCGCUAUAUUUUAUAUCAAUUCAAACACGUCCCGCUAUAUUUCUCAUGAUAUCUU
This 107-nucleotide small RNA is filed under the name Arabidopsis thaliana (thale cress). RNAcentral describes it as "ATSL082180". Lineage: Eukaryota; Viridiplantae; Streptophyta; Magnoliopsida; Brassicales; Brassicaceae. The record is from RNAcentral.